RNAcentral lists this ribosomal RNA (498 nucleotides) under uncultured bacterium. Its description in RNAcentral is "bacterial SSU rRNA". It matches the Rfam family "Bacterial small subunit ribosomal RNA", at positions 30 to 518 of the family's 1533-position model. The record is from RNAcentral.
UGAACGCUAGCGACAGGCUUAACACAUGCAAGUCGAGGGGCAGCGCGAUGGUAGCAAUACUAGUUGGCGGCGACCGGCGCACUGGUGAGUAACACGUAUGCGACCUGCCCCGGACAGGGGGAUAAACCCGGGAAACUGGGCCUAAUACCCCAUAUGCCGCGGAGAUGCAUGUUUCCGCGGUGAAAGAUCCGUCGGUCCGGGAUGGGCAUGCGGCGCAUUAGCUUGUUGGCGGGGUAACGGCCCACCAAGGCGACGAUGCGUAGGGGUUCUGAGAGGAAGGUCCCCCCACACUGGUACUGAGACACGGACCAGACUCCUACGGGAGGCAGCAGUGAGGAAUAUUGGUCAAUGGACGCGAGUCUGAACCAGCCAAGUCGCGUGCGGGAUGAAGGCCCUCCGGGUCGUAAACCGCUUUAGCCGGGGAGUAACGUGUGGGACGCGUCCCGCAGUGAGAGUACCCGGAGAAUAAGCAUCGGCUAACUCCGUGCCAGCCGCCGC